RNAcentral lists this ribosomal RNA (497 nucleotides) under uncultured bacterium. RNAcentral describes it as "partial 16S ribosomal RNA". It matches the Rfam family "Bacterial small subunit ribosomal RNA", at positions 28 to 507 of the family's 1533-position model. The record is from RNAcentral.
GACGAACGCUGGCGGCGUGCCUAAUACAUGCAAGUUGAGCGCUGAAGGUUGGUACUUGUACCAACUGGAUGAGCAGCGAACGGGUGAGUAACGCGUGGGGAAUCUGCCUUUGAGCGGGGGACAACAUUUGGAAACGAAUGCUAAUACCGCAUAAAAACUUUAAACACAAGUUUUAAGUUUGAAAGAUGCAAUUGCAUCACUCAAAGAUGAUCCCGCGUUGUAUUAGCUAGUUGGUGAGGUAAAGGCUCACCAAGGCGAUGAUACAUAGCCGACCUGAGAGGGUGAUCGGCCACAUUGGGACUGAGACACGGCCCAAACUCCUACGGGAGGCAGCAGUAGGGAAUCUUCGGCAAUGGAGGAAAGUCUGACCGGGCAACGCCGCGUGAGUGAAGAAGGGUUUCGGAUCGUAAAACUCUGUUGGUAGAGAAGAACGUUGGUGAGAGUGGAAAGCUCAUCAAGUGACGGUAACUACCCAGAAAGGGACGGCUAACUACGUG